GGGUGCGAUCAUACCAACACGAAUGCACCAGAUUCAAUCAAAACUCCGCAGCUAAGCGUGUUUGGGAGAGAGUAGUACUAGGAUGGGUGACCUCCUACGUAGUCCUCUUGUUGCACACC
Molecule: ribosomal RNA, 119 nt
Organism: Quercus lobata
Lineage: Eukaryota; Viridiplantae; Streptophyta; Magnoliopsida; Fagales; Fagaceae
Source: RefSeq, a predicted model, not a curated record